Papio anubis (olive baboon) is the source of this 148-nucleotide unclassified non-coding RNA. It matches the Rfam family "Metazoan signal recognition particle RNA". From Rfam's summary of the family: The signal recognition particle (SRP) is a universally conserved ribonucleoprotein. It is involved in the co-translational targeting of proteins to membranes. The eukaryotic SRP consists of a 300-nucleotide 7S RNA and six proteins: SRPs 72, 68, 54, 19, 14, and 9. The record is from Ensembl. NCBI's taxonomy places the organism in Eukaryota, Metazoa, Chordata, Mammalia, Primates, Cercopithecidae.
GCUGGGCGUGGUGGUGCACACCUGUGGUCCCAGCUACUUGGGAGGCUGAGGUGGGAGGAUGGCUUGAGCCCAGAAGUUGGGGGCUGCAGUGAGCUAUGAUCGUGCCACUGCACUCCAGCCUGGGCAACAAAGCUAGAUCUUGUCUCAA